This 508-nucleotide ribosomal RNA is filed under the name uncultured bacterium. RNAcentral describes it as "partial 16S ribosomal RNA". It matches the Rfam family "Bacterial small subunit ribosomal RNA", at positions 28 to 523 of the family's 1533-position model. The record is from RNAcentral.
GAUGAACGCUGGCGGCGUGCUUAAUACAUGCAAGUCGAGCGAGAAAGUUCCUUCGGGAACGAGUACAGCGGCGAACGGGUGAGUAACACGUGGGCAACCUGCCCAAGGGAGCGGGACAACCGGAGGAAACUCCGGCUAAUACCGCAUGAUGUGUCAUGUCAUAAGGCGUGACACCAAAAGGUAGCUUCGGCCUCCGCCCUUGGAUGGGCCCGCGGCGCAUUAGCUUGUUGGUGGGGUAACGGCCUACCAAGGCGACGAUGCGUAGCUGGUCUGAGAAGACGAGCGGCCAGCCUGGGACUGAGACACGGCCCAGACUCCUACGGGAGGCAGCGGUAGGGAAUCUUGCGCAAUGGGCGAAAGCCUGACGCAGCAACGCCGCGUGAGGGAAGAAGGCUUUCGGGUUGUAAACCUCUUUCAGGAGGGACGAAGCUUCCAGGGUUAAUAGCCCAUGGGGUGACGGUACCUCCAGAAGAAGCCCCGGCUAACUACGUGCCAGCAGCCGCCGUAA